GCUUUAAAGAUAGUAGUAUCAACUGGCCUUAGAAGCCAGCCCCCUCGGCGCAACUCCAAGUUAAAGCU
This 68-nucleotide transfer RNA is filed under the name Porichthys myriaster (specklefin midshipman). Its description in RNAcentral is "tRNA-Leu(CUN)". The record is from RNAcentral. Lineage: Eukaryota; Metazoa; Chordata; Actinopteri; Batrachoidiformes; Batrachoididae.